GUGCUUGCUUUAGCAGCACAUAUACUAAAACUGGAAUGAUACUGAGAAGAUUAGCAUGGCUUCUGUGCAAGGAUGACACACAAAUUCAGAAGUGUUCCAUAUUUUA
Molecule: small nuclear RNA, 106 nt
Filed under: Dasypus novemcinctus (nine-banded armadillo)
Lineage: Eukaryota; Metazoa; Chordata; Mammalia; Cingulata; Dasypodidae
Source: RNAcentral